GAUGAACGCUAGCGGCAGGCUUAACACAUGCAAGUCGAGGGGCAGCGCGAUGUAGCAAUACAUUGGCGGCGACCGGCGCACGGGUGCGUAACACGUAUGGAACUUACCCUUUACUGGGAGAUAGCCCGGAGAAAUCCGGAUUAAUAUCCCAUAAUAAACGAAGUGGCAUCACUUUGUUUUGUAAAGCUCCGGCGGUAAAGGAUGGCCAUGCGCACGAUUAGCUAGUAGGUGAGGUAACGGCUCACCUAGGCUACGAUCGUUAGGGGGCCUGAGAGGGUUAUCCCCCACACUGGUACUGAGACACGGACCAGACUCCUACGGGAGGCAGCAGUGAGGAAUAUUGCGCAAUGGAGGCGAACUCUGACGCAGCCAUGCCGCGUGCAGGAAGAAGGCGCUACGCGUUGUAAACU
This 410-nucleotide ribosomal RNA is filed under the name uncultured bacterium. RNAcentral's name for it is "bacterial SSU rRNA". It matches the Rfam family "Bacterial small subunit ribosomal RNA", at positions 28 to 431 of the family's 1533-position model. The record is from RNAcentral.